UAGCUCUAUUGGUAAAGUACUUGCCUUGAAAGCAUGAGGACCUGAAUUCAAAUCUCAG
Molecule: transfer RNA, 58 nt
Filed under: Cricetulus griseus (Chinese hamster)
Lineage: Eukaryota; Metazoa; Chordata; Mammalia; Rodentia; Cricetidae
Rfam family: tRNA
About the family: Transfer RNA (tRNA) molecules are approximately 80 nucleotides in length. Their secondary structure includes four short double-helical elements and three loops (D, anti-codon, and T loops). Further hydrogen bonds mediate the characteristic L-shaped molecular structure. tRNAs have two regions of fundamental functional importance: the anti-codon, which is responsible for specific mRNA codon recognition, and the 3' end, to which the tRNAs corresponding amino acid is attached (by aminoacyl-tRNA synthetases). tRNAs cope with the degeneracy of the genetic code in two manners: having more than one tRNA (with a specific anti-codon) for a particular amino acid; and 'wobble' base-pairing, i.e. permitting non-standard base-pairing at the 3rd anti-codon position.
Source: Rfam by way of RNAcentral